This 301-nucleotide ribosomal RNA is filed under the name uncultured bacterium. Its description in RNAcentral is "partial 16S ribosomal RNA". It matches the Rfam family "Bacterial small subunit ribosomal RNA", at positions 509 to 808 of the family's 1533-position model. The record is from RNAcentral.
CAGUCGCCGCGGUAAUACGUAGGUCCCGAGCGUUGUCCGGAUUUAUUGGGCGUAAAGCGAGCGCAGGCGGUUAGAUAAGUCUGAAGUUAAAGGCUGUGGCUUAACCAUAGUACGCUUUGGAAACUGUUUAACUUGAGUGCAAGAGGGGAGAGUGGAAUUCCAUGUGUAGCGGUGAAAUGCGUAGAUAUAUGGAGGAACACCGGUGGCGAAAGCGGCUCUCUGGCUUGUAACUGACGCUGAGGAGCGAAAGCGUGGGGAGCGAACAGGAUUAGAUACCCCGGUAGUCCCUGUCUCUUAUACA